This 117-nucleotide ribosomal RNA is filed under the name Prolemur simus (greater bamboo lemur). The record is from RNAcentral. Lineage: Eukaryota; Metazoa; Chordata; Mammalia; Primates; Lemuridae.
CUCUAAAAUCCACUCCCUGAAGGCGCCCAAUCUUUUCUCAUCUCAGAAGCUAAGCAGGGUUGGUCCUGGAUAGUAUUUGGAUAGGAGACAACCUGGGAAUACAGGGUGCUAUAGGCU